UGGGGAAUUUUGGACAAUGGGGGAAACCCUGAUCCAGCCAUCCCGCGUGUGCGAUGAAGGCCUUCGGGUUGUAAAGCACUUUUGGCAGGAAAGAAACGUCAUGGGUUAAUACCCCGUGAAACUGACGGUACCUGCAGAAUAAGCACCGGCUAACUACGUGCCAGCAGCCGCGGUAAUACGUAGGGUGCAAGCGUUAAUCGGAUUUACUGGGCGUAAAGCGUGCGCAGGCGGUUCGGAAAGAAAGAUGUGAAAUCCCAGAGCUCAACUUUGGAACUGCAUUUUUAACUACCGGGCUAGAGUGUGUCAGAGGGAGGUGGAAUUCCGCGUGUAGCAGUGAAAUGCGUAGAUAUGCGGAGGAACACCGAUGGCGAAGGCAGCCUCCUGGGAUAACACUGACGCUCAUGCACGAAAGCGUGGGGAGCAAACAGG
This 429-nucleotide ribosomal RNA is filed under the name Acidobacteriota bacterium. Its description in RNAcentral is "Acidobacteria bacterium partial 16S ribosomal RNA". It matches the Rfam family "Bacterial small subunit ribosomal RNA", at positions 355 to 776 of the family's 1533-position model. Lineage: Bacteria; Pseudomonadati; Acidobacteriota. The record is from RNAcentral.